This 2982-nucleotide ribosomal RNA is filed under the name Gemmatimonadota bacterium. RNAcentral describes it as "23S ribosomal RNA". It matches the Rfam family "Bacterial large subunit ribosomal RNA". The record is from RNAcentral. Lineage: Bacteria; Pseudomonadati; Gemmatimonadota.
GAUCAAGCAAUCAAGGGCGCACGGUGGAUGCCUUGGCACCGAGAGGCGAUGAAGGACGUGGUAAGCUGCGAUAAGCCUGGGGGAGCUGCACACUAGCUGUGAUCCCAGGAUCUCCGAAUGGGGCAACCCGGUCCGCCGUAAGGCGGAUCACCCGUCGCAAGACGGGAGCGAACCCGGGGAACUGAAACAUCUAAUUACCCGGUGGAAGAGAAAGCAACCGCGAUUCCCCUAGUAGCGGCGAGCGAACGGGGAACAGCCCAAACCGUCGGAGCUUGCUCUGGCGGGGUUGUGGGACCGCGACAUGGGAGUACGAGACCAGAUCGAAGUGGCCUGGAACGGCCCGCCACAGACGGUGACAGCCCGGUAGAUAGACGUCUACGACCCCUAGCGGUAUCCCGAGUACCGUGGGACACGUGCAAUCCUGCGGGAAGCUGGGGGGACCACCCUCCAAGGCUAAAUACUCCUCGGUGACCGAUAGUGCACUAGUACCGUGAGGGAAAGGUGAAAAGAACGCCUGGUGGCGAGUGAAAUAGAACCUGAAACCGUGUGCCUACAAGCGGUCGGAGGGGGUGCGUACCUUCGGGUACGUGGCUCCUGACGGCGUGCCUUUUGCAUUAUGAUCCGGCGAGUUGCUCGUCAGCAGCUGGUUAAGGCCCUCAGGGCCGGAGCCGUAGCGAAAGCGAGUCUGAAUAGGGCGAUGACGUUGCUGGCGGCAGACCCGAAGCCGUGGCGAUCUACCCUUGGGCAGGUUGAAGCGGCCGUAACAGGUCGUGGAGGACCGAACCGUUGUGGGUUGAAAACCGCUCGGAUGACCUGAGGGUAGGGGUGAAAGGCCAAACAAGCUCGGAGAUAGCUGGUUCUCCCCGAAACGUAUUUUGGUACGGCCUCUGGAAUUGAGUCCGCAGGAGGUAGAGCACUGGAUGGGCUCGGGCGGCGCAUAGCCGUACCUCCCCCAACCAAACUCCGAAUGCCUGUUGGAUGCUGCCAGGGAGACAGUCGGUCGGCGAUAAUGUCGGCUGGCGAGAGGGUAAGAACCCAGACCGCCUGCUAAGGCCCCCAAGUAACAGCUCAGUGUAUCGAAGGAUGUGGACAUGCUGAGACAACUGGGAGGUUGGCUUAGAAGCAGCCAUUCCUUUAAAGAGUGCGUAAUAGCUCACCAGUCCAGCGUGGCCGCGCCGAAAAUGGUCGGGACUUGAAGCUGUUCGCCGAAGCAGCGGACUUCAUGCUCUGCAUGGAGUGGUAGGGGAGCGUUCCCGGAGCGUCGAAGCUGGGGCGAAAGCCUUCCGGUGGAGCGACGGGAAGUGAGGAUGCCGGAACGAGUACGCGAUAAACAGGGUGAAAACCCCUGUCACCGAAAGCCUAAGGGUUCCUGAGCCAUGUCGAUCAACUCAGGGUUAGUCGGUCCCUAAGGCGAGGCCGAAAGGCGUAGCCGAUGGGAAACGGGUCAAUAUUCCCGUACCGGUGGCAGUCCGUUUGAAUCUGAGGAGGGACGCAGAAGCGAGUGGUCCGUCGGAUGGUGGAAUAUCCGAUGCAAGGUGGUAGGCGUUCCCGGGUAGGCAAAUCCGCCCGGGGUAGCCGAGAACCGAUGCCGAAGGGGUCUUCGGACCCCGCCAAGGGAUCGUGAUGCACGCUGCCGAGAAAAGCUUCGCAGAUGAGGGCUGUCAGCGACCGUACCGCAAACCGACACAGGUAGGCGAGGCGAGAAGCCUAAGGUGCUCGAGUGAGCUGUGGAGAAGGAACUCGGCAAAAUGACUCCGUAACUUCGGGAGAAGGGGUGCCGGUUUUACGUGCGUGACUUCGCGUCGCAAGCGGAAGCCGGCCGCAGAGAAUCGGGCCAAGCGACUGUUUAGCAAAAACACAGGUGUCUGCUAAGGCGUAAUCCAAGCCGACGUAUAGGCACUGACGCCUGCCCGGUGCCGGAAGGUUAAGGGGAGGGGUUAGCCCGCUUCGGUGGGCGAAGCUCUGAUCCGAAGCCCCGGUAAACGGCGGCCGUAACUAUAACGGUCCUAAGGUAGCGAAAUUCCUUGUCGGGUAAGUUCCGACCUGCACGAAUGGCGUAACGACUUGGCCACUGUCUCCUCCACACGCUCGGCGAAACUGUAGUAUCGGUGAGGAUUCCGAUUACCCGCCACAGGACAAAAAGACCCCGUGCACCUUUACUACAAUCUGCCAUUGGACGUCGGCAUGACCUGCGUAGCAUAGGUGGGAGCCUAUGAACCCUCGGUUUCGGCUGGGGGGGAGGCAACAGUGAAAUACCACCCUUGUUUUGUUAACGCCCUCACUCGGCCGGUCACACCGGCGAGGACCGUGGCAGAUGGGUAGUUUGACUGGGGCGGUCGCCUCCUAAAGAGUAGCGGAGGCGCGCAAUGGUGCCCUCAGUGCGGUCGGUAAUCGCACGAAGAGCGCAAAGGCAUAAGGGCGCCUGACAGCGAGAGGGACACCUCGAGCUGGGACGAAAGUCGGCCUUAGUGAUCCGGUGGUCCCGUGUGGACGGGCCAUCGCUCAACGGAUAAAAGGUACGCCGGGGAUAACAGGCUUAUCGCGCCCGAGAGUUCACAUCGACGGCGCGGUUUGGCACCUCGAUGUCGGCUUAUCACAUCCUGGGGCUGGAGAAGGUCCCAAGGGUCCGGCUGUUCGCCGGUUAAAGUGGUACAUGAGCUGGGUUCAGAACGUCGUGAGACAGUUCGGUCUGUAUCCGUGGUGGGCGUUGGAGUGUUGAGGGGGCCCGACCCUAGUACGAGAGGACCGGGUUGGACUGACCGCUCGUGCCCCGGCUGUCACGCCAGUGGCAGCGCCGGUUAGCGAUGUCGGGUAGGGAUAACCGCUGAAAGCAUCUAAGUGGGAAGCCCGCCCCAAGAUGAACACUCCUGGACCGUAAGGUCCCUAAAGGGCCGUGGUAGACGACCACGUUGAUAGGCGGCAGGUGUAAGGUGUGCAAGCACUUCAGCCGAGCCGUACUAAUCGCCCGUGUAGCUUGAUCUC